Molecule: long non-coding RNA, 660 nt
Organism: Drosophila virilis
Lineage: Eukaryota; Metazoa; Arthropoda; Insecta; Diptera; Drosophilidae
Source: RefSeq, a predicted model, not a curated record
CCAUGCAGGCGCCCAGGUGUUGCGCACACGGCGCUGGUCUAACCGGCACUGCAACAGGCAGGUGAUGUUGGGGAAGGAAUGCAGUUACAGUAAUCCACACGAUAGCACGGUUUGCGUAGCACUGAGCGUCUCCAAAUCCGUUCCAGAUGCUUUUCAACAAAAAUUUUUGUCGAAUAGAAACCACGAAACGUUGUUUUGCACAACUCGACGAACGAUCGACAAAUGCGCGACGCGGCAGAGGCUGACUCUGAGGCAGCCAGAGAGCCAGAGACGACAACAGACAACCAGACAGAGGCAGUGGUACAAUGGGGAAAGGGGGGCUGUCAUAUGGAGGGGGGCUGCUAGCCAUAGCAGAUAGUGCUGUAUGCGGGCGCUCAGUUCAAUUGAAGAGCGUGAGAGCCAUUAAUAAUAUUGGCGCGUUUGCAAACAACACCAGGAAAACCCAACACGACGAGCGGCGCAUAAAAGAUCAGCCGGCAGCAGCAACAUCAGCAACAACAACAACAACAACAACAGCAACAUCAGCAACAACAACAACAACAACAACAAACCCGAACCCGAACCAAAUAAAAACAUAAUUCAUUUGAUGUACUCACGCGCUCUGAAAAGCACGCCAAUAACUUAAUGAAUGGGCCAUCAAAUAUUUAGAUUCAAGUCGUA